This 163-nucleotide small nuclear RNA is filed under the name Monopterus albus (swamp eel). RNAcentral describes it as "U1 spliceosomal RNA (ENSMALG00000012801.1)". It matches the Rfam family "U1 spliceosomal RNA". From Rfam's summary of the family: U1 is a small nuclear RNA (snRNA) component of the spliceosome (involved in pre-mRNA splicing). The record is from RNAcentral. Lineage: Eukaryota; Metazoa; Chordata; Actinopteri; Synbranchiformes; Synbranchidae.
AUAUUUACCUGGCGAAGACAAUAUCAUGAUUAUAAAGGUGGUUUGUCCAGAGCCAGCCUUAGCCAUUGUAAUUGGAUUGACUGAUUUCUGCGAACUUCUCAAAUGUGGGAAUUUCAUCUGCAUAGUUUAUGACAGUGGGGGACUGUGACUGCCCUCUCCCCUG